RNAcentral lists this ribosomal RNA (406 nucleotides) under uncultured bacterium. RNAcentral describes it as "partial 16S ribosomal RNA". It matches the Rfam family "Bacterial small subunit ribosomal RNA", at positions 29 to 526 of the family's 1533-position model. The record is from RNAcentral.
AUUGAACGCUGGCGGCAGGCUUAACACAUGCAAGUCGAACGAGGGGCGGACGGGUGAGUAAUGCUUGGGAAUCUAGCUUAUGGAGGGGGAUAACUACGGGAAACUGUAGCUAAUACCGCGUACCAUAGGAUGAGCCCAAGGGGGAUUAGGUAGUUGGUGAGGUAAAGGCUCACCAAGCCGACGAUCUCUAGCUGGUCUGAGAGGAUGACCGGCGACACGGGGACUGAGACACGGCCCAGACUCCUACGGGAGGCAGCGGGGGGGAAUAUUGCACAAUGGGCGAAAGCCUGAUGGAGCCAUGCCGCGUGUAUGAAGAAGGCCUUCGGGUUGUAAAGUACUUACAGUCGGGAGGCGUUACCGACAGAAGAAGCACCGGCUAACUCCGUGCCAGCAGCCGCGGUAAUUC